Gallus gallus (chicken) is the source of this 687-nucleotide long non-coding RNA. Lineage: Eukaryota; Metazoa; Chordata; Aves; Galliformes; Phasianidae. The record is from Ensembl.
UAAGCACUGUAAAUAGAGUCAAUCUGAAAAUACAUGAUUGCAUAGAGAUCCAUGGGGGACCAACUAUGGGAUCUAUUGCACAUCUCUGAUAGUGGAGAGGAACUGCAUGACACUUAUUUAUUGUCAGACAAUUUUCCACUAAAGUGACCCUGACGAAGAGUCUGCCACCCUCCCUUUGGAUACCGAAAGGCCGCUCUCAGAUCUCCCUGCACAGCCCCAGCUCUCUCAGCCUGCCUUUGUAAGAGAGGUGUUCCAUCACUGGAUCAUUUUGUGACCCUCCUCUGGACAUGUACAGGUCCAUGUCUCUCCUGUACUGACGCCACAUCUGGAUGCAGUACUCCAGGUUAAAAGCACCUGAUUAAUUCAAAUUCUGUGAAUAAAAGCACGGAGUCCCAUUUUGGAGGUUUCACAGGGAGUGGUGCCCAGACUACAGGAGCAAUCAAAAGGCUGUGAAACAAUGAAGUCUCCAUAGUUUCUGGCAAUACCAUGAGAUGUUUCAUGGCUCUGCUCUGCCAGGUAUGGCAUCUGUAUGUGGCAUAGAGGGUAAAGUCAGCCCAGCUGUGAAACAGGUGAUCCUGCUUACCUCAGUGGAUGCUCCUGAAGAGCAUCUGCAUCCUGUGGCUGUCUUUGGGCUUCAAGAGGACACUCCCCACGCAGACAUUUCCAAACUGCUUGACAAGGAGAAUA